This 503-nucleotide ribosomal RNA is filed under the name uncultured bacterium. RNAcentral's name for it is "partial 16S ribosomal RNA". It matches the Rfam family "Bacterial small subunit ribosomal RNA", at positions 30 to 523 of the family's 1533-position model. The record is from RNAcentral.
AUUGAACGCUGGCGGCAGGCUUAACACAUGCAAGUCGAGCGGGGUGAUGGUGCUUGCACUAUCACUUAGCGGCGGACGGGUGAGUAAUGCUUAGGAAUCUGCCUAUUAGUGGGGGACAACAUCUCGAAAGGGAUGCUAAUACCGCAUACGUCCUACGGGAGAAAGCAGGGGAUCACUUGUGACCUUGCGCUAAUAGAUGAGCCUAAGUCGAAUUAGCUAGUUGGUGGGGUAAAGGCCUACCAAGGCGACGAUCUGUAGCGGGUCUGAGAGGAUGAUCCGCGACACUGGGACUAAGACACGGCCCAGACUCCUACGGGAGGCAGGAGUGGGGAAUAUUGGACAAUGGGGGGAACCCUGAUCCAGCCAUGCGGCGUGUGUGAAGAAGGCCUUAUGGUUGUAAAGCACUUUAAGCGAGGAGGAGGCUCUUUUGGUUAAUACCCAGAAUGAGUGGACGUUACUCGCAGAAUAAGCACCGGCUAACUCUGUGCCAGCAGCCGCCGUAA